GUAUCGCCUGCCCAGUGACUCUUUAAACGGCCGCGGUAUCCUAACCGUGCAAAGGUAGCAUAAUCACUUGUCCCAUAAAUCGAGACCGGAAUGAACGGCUAAAUGAAGACUAAACUGUCUCUUGCGGCCAGACCAAUGAAAUUGAUCUUCCAGUACAAAAGCUGAAAUAUACCCAUAAGACGAGAAGACCCUGUGGAGCUUUAAAACCAAGCGCAUCAAGCAUGCCUCUUGGAUUUUUAGUUGGGGCGACUUUGGAGCAUAAAAAAACCUCCAAAACAUGAAAUUUAAAUUAAGACCAACACGACAAAAUAAUAACAUAAGACCCAGCAACCAACUACACGUUGACUGACCAAUGAACCAAGUUACCCCAGGGAUAACAGCGCCAUCCCCUUCCAGAGUCCAUAUCGACAAGGGGGUUUACGACCUCGAUGUUGGAUCAGGACACCCCAAUGGUGCAGCCGCCAUUAAAGGUUCGUUUGUUCAACGAUUAAAGUCCUA
This 498-nucleotide ribosomal RNA is filed under the name Iberolacerta horvathi. RNAcentral's name for it is "partial 16S ribosomal RNA". It matches the Rfam family "Bacterial large subunit ribosomal RNA", at positions 1852 to 2598 of the family's 2925-position model. The record is from RNAcentral. Lineage: Eukaryota; Metazoa; Chordata; Lepidosauria; Squamata; Lacertidae.